Molecule: small RNA, 433 nt
Filed under: Pongo abelii (Sumatran orangutan)
Lineage: Eukaryota; Metazoa; Chordata; Mammalia; Primates; Hominidae
Description: processed transcript
Source: RNAcentral
UUCACCACUGGUGCAGCUGCUAAAUAGCAAAGACCAGGAAGUGCUGCUUCAAACGGGCAGGGCUCUAGGAAACAUAUGUUACGAUAGCCAUGAGGGCAGAAGUGCAGUUGACCAAGCAGGUGGUGCACAGAUUGUAAUUGACCAUUUAAGGUCCCUGUGCAGUAUAACAGAUCCCGCCAAUGAGAAGCUCUUGACUGUCUUUUGUGGCAUGCUGAUGAACUAUAGCAAUGAGAAUGAUCUCCAUUCUUUGGAGUUUCCAUGAGUGUGACCUGAAGAACUUGGAACCAUUGAAAUUCAAAUGUAGAUUCGCUUCAAGCUCAGCUUAUCAAUAUGGGUGUUAUUCCUACCUUAGUGAAAUUACUGGGCAUCCACUGCCAAAAUGCAGCUCUUACAGAAAUGUGUCUUGUUGCAUUUGGUAAUUUAGCAGAACUUG